UACGUAGGGUGCGAGCGUUAAUCGGAAUUACUGGGCGUAAAGCGUGCGCAGGCGGUUUUGUAAGCCAGGUGUGAAAUCCCCGGGCUCAACCUGGGAAUGGCAUUUGGGACUGCAAGGCUGGAGUGCGGCAGAGGAGACUGGAAUUCCUGGUGUAGCAGUGAAAUGCGUAGAUAUCAGGAGGAACACCGAUGGCGAAGGCAGGUCUCUGGGCUGACACUGACGCCCAUGCACGAAAGCGUGGGGAGCAAACAGG
Molecule: ribosomal RNA, 253 nt
Filed under: uncultured bacterium
Lineage: Bacteria
Description: partial 16S ribosomal RNA
Rfam family: Bacterial small subunit ribosomal RNA
Source: RNAcentral